RNAcentral lists this ribosomal RNA (443 nucleotides) under uncultured bacterium. RNAcentral describes it as "partial 16S ribosomal RNA". It matches the Rfam family "Bacterial small subunit ribosomal RNA", at positions 338 to 795 of the family's 1533-position model. The record is from RNAcentral.
CCUACGGGAGGCAGCAGUGGGGAAUAUUGGGCAAUGGAGGCAACUCUGACCCAGCAACGCCGCGUGAAUGAUGAAGGUCUUCGGAUUGUAAAGUUCUGUGAUGGGGGAUGAACACAAUGACGGUACCCCAAUAGCAAGCCACGGCUAACUACGUGCCAGCAGCCGCGGUAAUACGUAGGUGGCAAGCGUUAUCCGGAAUGACUGGGCGUAAAGGGUGCGUAGGUGGUUUAGUAAGUUGGCGGUGUAAUUCCGGGGCUCAACCUCGGCGCUACCGCCAAAACUAUUAGACUUGAGUACAGUUGAGGUAGGCGGAAUUCGUGGUGUAGCGGUGAAAUGCUUAGAUAUCACGAAGAACCCCGAUUGCGAAGGCAGCUUACUAAACUGUGACUGACAUUGAUGCUCGAAAGUGUGGGUAUCAAACAGGAUUAGAUACCCUAGUAGUC